GGAGAGGUGGCAGAGCGGUCGAUUGCACCGGUCUUGAAAACCGGCAGGGCUUCACGGCCCUCGUGGGUUCGAAUCCCACCCUCUCCGCCA
This 90-nucleotide transfer RNA is filed under the name Gammaproteobacteria bacterium. RNAcentral's name for it is "tRNA-Ser". It matches the Rfam family "tRNA". From Rfam's summary of the family: Transfer RNA (tRNA) molecules are approximately 80 nucleotides in length. Their secondary structure includes four short double-helical elements and three loops (D, anti-codon, and T loops). The record is from RNAcentral. Lineage: Bacteria; Pseudomonadati; Pseudomonadota; Gammaproteobacteria.